Molecule: ribosomal RNA, 253 nt
Filed under: uncultured bacterium
Lineage: Bacteria
Description: partial 16S ribosomal RNA
Rfam family: Bacterial small subunit ribosomal RNA
Source: RNAcentral
UACGUAGGGUGCGAGCGUUGUCCGGAAUUAUUGGGCGUAAAGAGCUUGUAGGCGGUUUGUCGCGUCUGCCGUGAAAAUCCGGGGCUCAACCCCGGACUUGCGGUGGGUACGGGCAGACUAGAGUGUGGUAGGGGAGACUGGAAUUCCUGGUGUAGCGGUGAAAUGCGCAGAUAUCAGGAGGAACACCGAUGGCGAGGGCAGGUCUCUGGGCCACUACUGACGCUGAGAAGCGAAAGCGUGGGGAGCGAACAGG